RNAcentral lists this ribosomal RNA (272 nucleotides) under uncultured bacterium. RNAcentral describes it as "partial 16S ribosomal RNA". It matches the Rfam family "Bacterial small subunit ribosomal RNA", at positions 82 to 354 of the family's 1533-position model. The record is from RNAcentral.
UCUAUGUCGGCGACCGGCGCACGGGUGCGUAACGCGUAUGCAGCCUACCCAUUACAGGGGGAUAACACUGAGAAAUCGGUACUAAUACCCCAUAACAUCCAGGGAGGCAUCUUCUUGGGUUGAAAACUCCGGUGGUAAUGGAUGGGCAUGCGUUGUAUUAGUUAGUUGGUGGGGUAACGGCUCACCAAGACAACGAUACAUAGGGGGACUGAGAGGUUAACCCCCCCACAUUGGUACUGAGACACGGACCAAACUCCUACGGGAGGCAGCAG